AUUGAACGCUGGCGGCAGGCCUAACACAUGCAAGUCGAACGAGUGGCGGACGGGUGAGUAAUGUCUGGGAAACUGCCUGAGGGAGGGGGAUCAACACUGGAAAGGGUAGCUAAUACCGCAUACCCUGGGUUGUGCCCAGAUGGGAUUAGCUAGUAGGUGGGGUAAAGGCUCACCUAGGCGACGAUCCCUAGCUGGUCUGAGAGGAUGACCAGCCACAUUGGAACUGAGACACGGUCCAGACUCCUACGGGAGGCAGCAGUGGGGAAUAUUGCACAAUGGGCGCAAGCCUGAUGCAGCCAUGCCGCGUGUAUGAAGAAGGCCUUCGGGUUGUAAAGUACUUUCAGCGGGGAGGCGUUACCCGCAGAAGAAGCACCGGCUAACUCCGUGCCAGCCGCCGCGGUAAUUC
Molecule: ribosomal RNA, 406 nt
Filed under: uncultured bacterium
Lineage: Bacteria
Description: partial 16S ribosomal RNA
Rfam family: Bacterial small subunit ribosomal RNA
Source: RNAcentral